Molecule: ribosomal RNA, 641 nt
Filed under: uncultured Anaplasma sp.
Lineage: Bacteria; Pseudomonadati; Pseudomonadota; Alphaproteobacteria; Rickettsiales; Anaplasmataceae
Description: bacterial SSU rRNA
Rfam family: Bacterial small subunit ribosomal RNA
Source: RNAcentral
GCUGAAUGUGGGGAUAAUUUAUCUCCGUGUUGAAGCUAACGCGUUAGCACUCCGCCUGGGGACUACGGUCGCAAGACUAAAACUCAAAGGAAUUGACGGGGACCCGCACAAGCGGUGGAGCAUGUGGUUUAAUUCGAUGCAACGCGAAAAACCUUACCACUCCUUGACAUGGAGAUUAGAUCCUUCUUAACGGAAGGGCGCAGUUCGGCUGGAUCUCGCACAGGUGCUGCAUGGCUGUCGUCAGCUCGUGUCGUGAGAUGUUGGGUUAAGUCCCGCAACGAGCGUAACCCUCAUCCUUAGUUGCCAGCGGGUAAUGCCGGGCACUUUAAGGAAACUGCCGGUGGUAAACUGGAGGAAGGUGGGGAUGAUGUCAAGUCAGCACGGCCCUUAUGGGGUGGGCUACACACGUGCUACAAUGGUGACUACAAUAGGUUGCAAUGUCGCAAGGCUGAGCUAAUCCGUAAAAGUCAUCUCAGUUCGGAUUGUCCUCUGCAACUCGAGGGCAUGAAGUCGGAAUCGCUAGUAAUCGUGGAUCAGCAUGCCACGGUGAAUACGUUCUCGGGUCUUGUACACACUGCCCGUCACGCCAUGGGAAUUGGCUUAACUCGAAGCUGGUGCGCUAACCGAAAGGAAGCAGCCAU